GAUGGACGCUGGCGGCGUGCCUAAUACAUGCAAGUCGAGCGAACGGACGAGAAGCUUGCUUCUCUGAUGUUAGCGGCGGACGGGUGAGUAACACGUGGAUAACCUACCUAUAAGACUGGGAUAACUUCGGGAAACCGGAGCUAAUACCGGAUAAUAUUUUGAACCGCAUGGUUCAAAAGUGAAAGACGGUCUUGCUGUCACUUAUAGAUGGAUCCGCGCUGCAUUAGCUAGUUGGUAAGGUAACGGCUUACCAAGGCAACGAUGCAUAGCCGACCUGAGAGGGUGAUCGGCCACACUGGAACGGAGACACGGUCCAGACUCCUACGGGAGGCAGCAGUAGGGAAUCUUCCGCAAUGGGCGAAAGCCUGACGGAGCAACGCCGCGUGAGUGAUGAAGGUCUUCGGAUCGUAAAACUCUGUUAUUAGGGAAGAACAAAUGUGUAAGUAACUGUGCACAUCUUGACGGUACCUAAUCAGAAAGCCACGGCUAACUACGUG
RNAcentral lists this ribosomal RNA (497 nucleotides) under uncultured bacterium. Its description in RNAcentral is "partial 16S ribosomal RNA". It matches the Rfam family "Bacterial small subunit ribosomal RNA", at positions 28 to 507 of the family's 1533-position model. The record is from RNAcentral.